This 465-nucleotide ribosomal RNA is filed under the name uncultured Klebsiella sp. RNAcentral describes it as "bacterial SSU rRNA". It matches the Rfam family "Bacterial small subunit ribosomal RNA", at positions 338 to 795 of the family's 1533-position model. Lineage: Bacteria; Pseudomonadati; Pseudomonadota; Gammaproteobacteria; Enterobacterales; Enterobacteriaceae. The record is from RNAcentral.
CCUACGGGCGGCUGCAGUGGGGAAUAUUGCACAAUGGGCGCAAGCCUGAUGCAGCCAUGCCGCGUGUGUGAAGAAGGCCUUCGGGUUGUAAAGCACUUUCAGCGGGGAGGAAGGCGGUGAGGUUAAUAACCUCAUCGAUUGACGUUACCCGCAGAAGAAGCACCGGCUAACUCCGUGCCAGCAGCCGCGGUAAUACGGAGGGUGCAAGCGUUAAUCGGAAUUACUGGGCGUAAAGCGCACGCAGGCGGUCUGUCAAGUCGGAUGUGAAAUCCCCGGGCUCAACCUGGGAACUGCAUUCGAAACUGGCAGGCGAGAGUCUUGUAGAGGGGGGUAGAAUGCCAGGUGGAGCGGUGAAAUGCGUAGAGAUCUGGAGGAAUACCGGUGGCGAAGGCGGCCCCCUGGACAAAGACUGACGCUCAGGUGCGAAAGCGUUGGGAGCAAACAGGAUUAGAUACCCCGGUAGUC